GAAAAAAAAAGAAAACGAGAGAGAGAUAGAGAGAGAGAGAGAAGAAGUUGUUGAGUUGUUUUCCCUCUCUCGUCCCCUUCCCUCCCUCCCCUCCUCCUCUUCUCU
RNAcentral lists this microRNA precursor (105 nucleotides) under Oryza longistaminata (longstamen rice). RNAcentral's name for it is "pre miRNA MIR408". The record is from RNAcentral. Lineage: Eukaryota; Viridiplantae; Streptophyta; Magnoliopsida; Poales; Poaceae.